UGAACGCUAGCUACAGGCUUAACACAUGCAAGUCGAGGGGCAGCAUGGUCUUAGCUUGCUAAGGCCGAUGGCGACCGGCGCACGGGUGAGUAACACGUAUCCAACCUGCCGUCUACUCUUGGACAGCCUUCUGAAAGGAAGAUUAAUACAAGAUGGCAUCAUGAGUCCGCAUGUUCACAUGAUUAAAGGUAUUCCGGUAGACGAUGGGGAUGCGUUCCAUUAGAUAGUAGGCGGGGUAACGGCCCACCUAGUCUUCGAUGGAUAGGGGUUCUGAGAGGAAGGUCCCCCACAUUGGAACUGAGACACGGUCCAAACUCCUACGGGAGGCAGCAGUGAGGAAUAUUGGUCAAUGGGCGAGAGCCUGAACCAGCCAAGUAGCGUGAAGGAUGACUGCCCUAUGGGUUGUAAACUUCUUUUAUAAAGGAAUAAAGUCGGGUAUGGAUACCCGUUUGCAUGUACUUUAUGAAUAAGGAUCGGCUAACUCCGUGCCAGCAGCCGCGGUAAUACGGAGGAUCCGAGCGUUAUCCGGAUUUAUUGGGUUUAAAGGGAGCGUAGAUGGAUGUUUAAGUCAGUUGUGAAAGUUUGCGGCUCAACCGUAAAAUUGCAGUUGAUACUGGAUAUCUUGAGUGCAGUUGAGGCAGGCGGAAUUCGUGGUGUAGCGGUGAAAUGCUUAGAUAUCACGAAGAACUCCGAUUGCGAAGGCAGCCUGCUAAGCUGCAACUGACAUUGAGGCUCGAAAGUGUGGGUAUCAAACAGGAUUAGAUACCCUGGUAGUCCACACGGUAAACGAUGAAUACUCGCUGUUUGCGAUAUACUGCAAGCGGCCAAGCGAAAGCGUUAAGUAUUCCACCUGGGGAGUACGCCGGCAACGGUGAAACUCAAAGGAAUUGACGGGGGCCCGCACAAGCGGAGGAACAUGUGGUUUAAUUCGAUGAUACGCGAGGAACCUUACCCGGGCUUAAAUUGCAGAUGAAUUACGGUGAAAGCCGUAAGCCGCAAGGCAUCUGUGAAGGUGCUGCAUGGUUGUCGUCAGCUCGUGCCGUGAGGUGUCGGCUUAAGUGCCAUAACGAGCGCAACCCUUGUUGUCAGUUACUAACAGGUUCCGCUGAGGACUCUGACAAGACUGCCAUCGUAAGAUGUGAGGAAGGUGGGGAUGACGUCAAAUCAGCACGGCCCUUACGUCCGGGGCUACACACGUGUUACAAUGGGGGGUACAGAGGGUCGCUACCACGCGAGUGGAUGCCAAUCCCCAAAACCUCUCUCAGUUCGGACUGGAGUCUGCAACCCGACUCCACGAAGCUGGAUUCGCUAGUAAUCGCGCAUCAGCCACGGCGCGGUGAAUACGUUCCCGGGCCUUGUACACACCGCCCGUCAAGCCAUGGGAGCCGGGGGUACCUGAAGUGCGUAACCGCGAGGAGCGCCCUAGGGUAAAACUGGUGACUGGGGCUAAG
RNAcentral lists this ribosomal RNA (1451 nucleotides) under uncultured organism. Its description in RNAcentral is "SSU rRNA". It matches the Rfam family "Bacterial small subunit ribosomal RNA". The record is from RNAcentral.